This 62-nucleotide transfer RNA is filed under the name Gammarus duebeni. RNAcentral's name for it is "tRNA-Asn". Lineage: Eukaryota; Metazoa; Arthropoda; Malacostraca; Amphipoda; Gammaridae. The record is from RNAcentral.
UUGACUAAAGCCAAAAAGAGGCCAAUCACUGUUACUGAUUUUAUUGGGGCUUCCUAGUCGUU